UAAUAAGUGUUUUACGGCACUCUUUAAAUCCAUAUCCACCUUGUGUGCAAUGUCAGUCGAUCUUCUUCAUGGAGAUCGACCAAACAUCAACCUUUAUCUUUUAACUCUUUGUCUGAAAAAUAUUAUGAAUAAACAAUUCAAAAUA
Molecule: unclassified non-coding RNA, 145 nt
Filed under: soil metagenome
Description: partial internal transcribed spacer 1
Source: RNAcentral